UUGUAGCGUAAUGGAAACGCAAUGGAUUUCUAAUCCAUUAGAUGAAGGUUCGAGUCCUUUCG
RNAcentral lists this transfer RNA (62 nucleotides) under bovine gut metagenome. It matches the Rfam family "tRNA", at positions 6 to 65 of the family's 71-position model. From Rfam's summary of the family: Transfer RNA (tRNA) molecules are approximately 80 nucleotides in length. Their secondary structure includes four short double-helical elements and three loops (D, anti-codon, and T loops). Further hydrogen bonds mediate the characteristic L-shaped molecular structure. tRNAs have two regions of fundamental functional importance: the anti-codon, which is responsible for specific mRNA codon recognition, and the 3' end, to which the tRNAs corresponding amino acid is attached (by aminoacyl-tRNA synthetases). tRNAs cope with the degeneracy of the genetic code in two manners: having more than one tRNA (with a specific anti-codon) for a particular amino acid; and 'wobble' base-pairing, i.e. permitting non-standard base-pairing at the 3rd anti-codon position. The record is from RNAcentral.